RNAcentral lists this ribosomal RNA (1343 nucleotides) under uncultured bacterium. RNAcentral's name for it is "16S ribosomal RNA". It matches the Rfam family "Bacterial small subunit ribosomal RNA", at positions 28 to 1378 of the family's 1533-position model. The record is from RNAcentral.
GACGAACGCUGGCGGCGUGCUUAACACAUGCAAGUCGAACGGAAAGGCCCUGCUUUUGUGGGGUGCUCGAGUGGCGAACGGGUGAGUAACACGUGAGUAACCUGCCCUUGACUUUGGGAUAACUUCAGGAAACUGGGGCUAAUACCGGAUAGGAGCUCCUGCUGCAUGGUGGGGGUUGGAAAGUUUCGGCGGUUGGGGAUGGACUCGCGGCUUAUCAGCUUGUUGGUGGGGUAGUGGCUUACCAAGGCUUUGACGGGUAGCCGGCCUGAGAGGAUGACCGGCCACAUUGGGACUGAGAUACGGCCCAGACUCCUACGGGAGGCAGCAGUGGGGAAUAUUGCACAAUGGGCGGAAGCCUGAUGCAGCAACGCCGCGUGCGGGAUGACGGCCUUCGGGUUGUAAACCGCUUUCGCCUGUGACGAAGCGUGAGUGACGGUAAUGGGUAAAGAAGCACCGGCUAACUACGUGCCAGCAGCCGCGGUGAUACGUAGGGUGCGAGCGUUGUCCGGAUUUAUUGGGCGUAAAGGGCUCGUAGGUGGUUGAUCGCGUCGGAAGUGUAAUCUUGGGGCUUAACCCUGAGCGUGCUUUCGAUACGGGUUGACUUGAGGAAGGUAGGGGAGAAUGGAAUUCCUGGUGGAGCGGUGGAAUGCGCAGAUAUCAGGAGGAACACCAGUGGCGAAGGCGGUUCUCUGGGCCUUUCCUGACGCUGAGGAGCGAAAGCGUGGGGAGCGAACAGGCUUAGAUACCCUGGUAGUCCACGCUGUAAACGGUGGGUACUAGGUGUGGGGUCCAUUCCACGGGUUCCGUGCCGUAGCUAACGCUUUAAGUACCCCGCCUGGGGAGUACGGCCGCAAGGCUAAAACUCAAAGGAAUUGACGGGGCCCCGCACAAGCGGCGGAGCAUGCGGAUUAAUUCGAUGCAACGCGUAGAACCUUACCUGGGUUUGACAUGGAUCGGGAGCGCUCAGAGAUGGGUGUGCCUCUUUUGGGGUCGGUUCACAGGUGGUGCAUGGCUGUCGUCAGCUCGUGUCGUGAGAUGUUGGGUUAAGUCCCGCAACGAGCGCAACCCUUGUUCACUGUUGCCAGCACGUUAUGGUGGGGACUCAGUGGAGACCGCCGGGGUCAACUCGGAGGAAGGUGGGGAUGACGUCAAGUCAUCAUGCCCCUUAUGUCCAGGGCUUCACGCAUGCUACAAUGGCUGGUACAGAGAGUGGCGAGCCUGUGAGGGUGAGCGAAUCUCGGAAAGCCGGUCUCAGUUCGGAUUGGGGUCUGCAACUCGACCUCAUGAAGUCGGAGUCGCUAGUAAUCGCAGAUCAGCAACGCUGCGGUGAAUACGUUCCCGGG